Molecule: long non-coding RNA, 543 nt
Filed under: Zonotrichia albicollis (white-throated sparrow)
Lineage: Eukaryota; Metazoa; Chordata; Aves; Passeriformes; Passerellidae
Description: lncRNA (ENSZALG00000009352.1)
Source: RNAcentral
GUUCAGCAGGGUCUGGGCCAGGUCAGUCUCUCCCUGACUCACGACUGCCCUUUUCCUUCCCAGAAAAAAGAAGGCCUUGCCCAGCAAAGUCGAGGAGGAUCAGUACACAGAGCUCCAGCCCUAUGAGAAUGUACAGGGGGAUAAUUACUGCAUGAUCGAGACUUUUCCUGAGAAAGAUGCAGGUAAGUGUGGCCAGGCUGGAGAGCCAUUACCCCCGCCCCUGCCUGUUCGCGAGAGUCAGCAGUGAGGAAGAAGAGCAGCUGGAGUGGACAUCUGAGGCACUUCUCUUCUCAAGGCUUGGUCCUCCACCACUGGAAGCAUGACAAUGAAUUAUCUCAUGAGUUAUUGCUUCCCCCCAAAAUUUUCUUCUUCAUCAAGCUCCAGAAUCCUCUGCCACACCACAGGAGCAGCUUAAGGCAUGGGUUGACCUCCUCAUGACAGCAAGGAUGUGUCGCAGUAGUUCUACAGUGCUCUGGCAUAGCCAUCUCACCAGCAUCUUGGUGCCUGCAAAUAUUCCCUGAGAAUGGAGGAGCUCACAAUUCC